This 910-nucleotide ribosomal RNA is filed under the name uncultured fungus. Its description in RNAcentral is "SSU rRNA". It matches the Rfam family "Eukaryotic small subunit ribosomal RNA", at positions 564 to 1510 of the family's 1831-position model. Lineage: Eukaryota; Fungi. The record is from RNAcentral.
GUGCCAGCAGCCGCGGUAAUUCCAGCUCCAAUAGCGUAUAUUAAAGUUGUUGUGGUUAAAAAGCUCGUAGUUGAACCUUGGGCCUGGCUGGCCGGUCCGCCUCACCGCGUGCACUGGUCCGGCCGGGCCUUUCCCUCUGUGGAACCCCAUACCCUUCACUGGGCGUGGCGGGGAAACAGGACAUUUACUUUGAAAAAAUUAGAGUGCUCCAGGCAGGCCUAUGCUCGAAUACAUUAGCAUGGAAUAAUAAAAUAGGACGCGCGGUUCUAUUUUGUUGGUUUAUAGGACCGCCGUAAUGAUUAAUAGGGACAGUCGGGGGCAUCAGUAUUCAACUGUCAGAGGUGAAAUUCUCGGAUCAGUUGAAGACUAACUACUGCGAAAGCAUUUGCCAAGGAUGUUUUCAUUAAUCAGGAACGAAAGUUAGGGGAUCGAAGACGAUCAGAUACCGUCGUAGUCUUAACCAUAAACUAUGCCGACUAGGGAUCGGACGGUGUUAUUCAUGACCCGUUCGGCACCUUACGGGAAAUCAAAGUGCUUGGGCUCCAGGGGGAGUAUGGUCGCAAGGCUGAAACUUAAAGAAAUUGACGGAAGGGCACCACCAGGGGUGGAGCCUGCGGCUUAAUUUGACUCAACACGGGGAAACUCACCAGGUCCAGACACAAUAAGGAUUGACAGAUUGAGAGCUCUUUCUUGAUUUUGUGGGUGGUGAUGCAUGACCGUUCUUAGUUGGUGGGGUGACUUGUCUGCUUAAUUGCGAUAACGAACGAGACCUUAACCUGCUAAAUAGCCCGCAUGCUCCGGCAGUGCGCUGCUCUAGAGGACUUUCGCUCAAGCGACGAAGUUGAGGCAAUAACAGGUCUGUGAUGCCUUUAGAUGUUCUGGGGCGGCACGGCGGCUUACCACUUGAACG